UAGGCAGUGAAGUUGUUGAAAAAUACAAAG
This 30-nucleotide non-coding RNA is filed under the name Mus musculus (house mouse). The record is from RNAcentral. Lineage: Eukaryota; Metazoa; Chordata; Mammalia; Rodentia; Muridae.